UACGUAGGGUGCAAGCGUUGUCCGGAAUUAUUGGGCGUAAAGAGCUUGUAGGCGGUUUGUCGCGUCUGCUGUGAAAUUUCGGGGCUCAACCCCGAACUUGCAGUGGGUACGGGCAGACUAGAGUGUGGUAGGGGAGACUGGAAUUCCUGGUGUAGCGGUGAAAUGCGCAGAUAUCAGGAGGAACACCGAUGGCGAAGGCAGGUCUCUGGGCCACUACUGACGCUGAGGCACGAAAGCGUGGGGAGCAAACAGG
RNAcentral lists this ribosomal RNA (253 nucleotides) under uncultured bacterium. RNAcentral's name for it is "partial 16S ribosomal RNA". It matches the Rfam family "Bacterial small subunit ribosomal RNA", at positions 524 to 776 of the family's 1533-position model. The record is from RNAcentral.